UGAACUCCUCCAACGAUUUAAGCAAUAAAAAUAUGUUUGGCUUAGAAUCGAAAAUAUCAAACAAAACUACCACGGUCGCUUCAGAUCAAUUUUUCAGAUAACAAUAACUAUCAUUGAUCAUGAAGAAACAUACUAAUCAGGACACAAUGACGCGAAGAGGACACAGUUAUUUUUGGAUAAAAAUAGAUUAAAUGGCGUUUCUCUUGCUCGUUUGUAAAGGUAAUUAAACAAAAGAAAUUAAAAAAAUAUAUUUGAUUCAA
This is a long non-coding RNA of Bombyx mori (domestic silkworm), 260 nucleotides long. RefSeq lists it as uncharacterized. NCBI's taxonomy places the organism in Eukaryota, Metazoa, Arthropoda, Insecta, Lepidoptera, Bombycidae. The transcript is spliced from 2 exons. The record is from RefSeq and is a predicted model, not a curated record.